CUCAGAUUGAACGCUGGCGGCAUGCUUUACACAUGCAAGUCGAACGGUAACAGGUCUUCGGAUGCUGACGAGUGGCGAACGGGUGAGUAAUACAUCGGAACGUGCCUAGUAGUGGGGGAUAACUACUCGAAAGAGUAGCUAAUACCGCAUGAGAUCUACGGAUGAAAGCAGGGGACCUUCGGGCCUUGUGCUACUAGAGCGGCUGAUGGCAGAUUAGGUAGUUGGUGGGGUAAAGGCUUACCAAGCCUGCGAUCUGUAGCUGGUCUGAGAGGACGACCAGCCACACUGGGACUGAGACACGGCCCAGACUCCUACGGGAGGCAGCAGUGGGGAAUUUUGGACAAUGGGCGAAAGCCUGAUCCAGCAAUGCCGCGUGCAGGAUGAAGGCCCUCGGGUUGUAAACUGCUUUUGUACGGAACGAAAAGCCUGGGGCUAAUAUCCCCGGGUCAUGACGGUACCGUAAGAAUAAGCACCGGCUAACUACGUGCCAGCAGCCGCGGUAAUACGUAGGGUGCAAGCGUUAAUCGGAAUUACUGGGCGUAAAGCGUGCGCAGGCGGUUUUGUAAGACAGUGGUGAAAUCCCCGGGCUCAACCUGGGAACUGCCAUUGUGACUGCAAGGCUAGAGUGCGGCAGAGGGGGAUGGAAUUCCGCGUGUAGCAGUGAAAUGCGUAGAUAUGCGGAGGAACACCGAUGGCGAAGGCA
This 703-nucleotide ribosomal RNA is filed under the name Comamonas sp. CCM-066. RNAcentral describes it as "bacterial SSU rRNA". It matches the Rfam family "Bacterial small subunit ribosomal RNA", at positions 23 to 723 of the family's 1533-position model. Lineage: Bacteria; Pseudomonadati; Pseudomonadota; Betaproteobacteria; Burkholderiales; Comamonadaceae. The record is from RNAcentral.